CCCUAUGGGGUGCAGCAGGCUACCUCAUCAUUACUUUUACAAUCGCUUAUGUUCAUGCCUCCUCCUUUGAGUUAAGCCGCUCCAGGAGGUAGUCAAGAUUAAAAGGACGGCCAUCAAACUUUAAUACCGAACGCGACACGCGUAUCCCGGUUUCUCUCAUAAUAAGCCUGGCAAGCUGACCUGCGGCAUUAUUCUCAACCGUAAUGAUCUGCUGACCGCCUUUUAACAACUGGCCCAGUUCUUUUGAAGGAAAAGGCCAUACCUGCGGUAAAUGUACAUACCCAAAACCCUUACCUGAUGUCUCGGCAGCCUCUUUGAUCGCCCCGUACGUCGAGCCAAAACCGACGAGGAUCGUUUUGGCCCCGGCCACAUUAUAGGUAACGGGUUCUUCUAUUUCCCGGGGGGGC
Molecule: ribosomal RNA, 407 nt
Filed under: uncultured prokaryote
Description: partial 16S ribosomal RNA
Source: RNAcentral